AACAUCGCGCACCUGCGGGAACCUGCGGAAGGAUCAUUACUGAAUUGCUUGGAGAUGUUGCUGGCUUUCUUUUUGAAAGCAAUGUGCACUCUUCCAACUUUUUUACCAUUUCCUUCACACCCUUCUUGUGCACAUUUUGUAGGGUCUCCUCACAAGGGAGGCUCUAUGUUACAUUUCACACGCAUUGAAUGUACAUGUAUGUCAUAAAAAGAAAAAGAAACAACUUUUAACAAUGGAUCU
RNAcentral lists this unclassified non-coding RNA (240 nucleotides) under soil metagenome. RNAcentral describes it as "partial contains 5.8S ribosomal RNA, internal transcribed spacer 2, and large subunit ribosomal RNA". The record is from RNAcentral.